GACGUGUGCACCACCCCUUGACACGUUCCGGCCCUGACCCCUGCCGGGUGGAGCAGGGUGAACUUCCUUCCUGUGGAGACCCACGAAGGUUCUACGAAACAACAGUUCUUUCCUGGGAUGCCAGUGUUGCCAGGAUAUGAGUGGAUAUAGUAAACAGAGCUGUUCAUACAGUUUGUAGCCUCGUGAGCAGGAAAUGGAGAUGAACACGGAUACAGCAGCACUUAAUCACCAGCAUUACUCUUACCUCACCAGAUUUCAGGAGGAGACACUGGCUGACUGAUGUGCCACUCACUCCAUCUUCAAGCAAACAUAAGGCUCACCUACAGGGUUCCACUGCAGAUUUUGGCCUGCUGGUUGUUGGGGUGGUUGUCAUGGGUGGAGUCAAACAUCUGGACAACAGAGGAUCGGAAAACCUGAGAACACUCUUGAAAUGGCAACAGGAAACGAGGAGAAAUGAAGUGAGCUCCGUGCCAGAGGCUCUUUAGAGAUCCAAGAGUCCCAUCAGCAGAAGCGCAGAGGGGUCCAUAAACCCAGCGGUCUCCACUCAAGUUUCCAUCUGCUAAAUUCUAGUCUAGUUAAAUAAGAGGCGGAAUCUUUUUCCAGCAGAGUCCACUAUUACUGUACUGAGAUCAGUGGGACAGCUGGACAUGAGAACUGGCUUCAACAUCCAUGACCUUCAGAGAGGUCAGCCCACAUCCACAUGCUCUUUGGCACAGGAAGCAGUUUGAGAUUUCAUUUGAUUUUACUGGCACUUGAAAUAGCAGGCGAUUUGAAAAAAGGUGUGGCAAUACCAAAGCUGCUAUUUUUCACAUUAUAUAAUGGCAGCUGAAAUCAAUGGAAAGUGUUUUGCAGGAAUCAGAUUAUGUGUAUGAAAUGGAAUUACAUUAUGAAACUGUUUCCCUAUUUAAAUAAGCUAAGAGGCUUGUAAGCUGAAAGCAAUAUGACCAUUUCUCUCUCUUUCUCUCUCACUUCAGUGUUUGUUUAUGCUGAAGAAACAGAGAGCUGAGAGUGCAUAACUGCUCUGCAAAUCAGGAAAUUAUAUAUUAAAAGGUUACAUAUACUGAAAAUAUCUCACCCAGUGCAAUGUUUGUUUGAAAUCUGUUUGAUGCUAAUUAAACACAAAGGCCAUUGUAUUGUUUUAGACUGUUUUUUUUUUUUUGUGAA
This is a long non-coding RNA of Carassius auratus (goldfish), 1164 nucleotides long. RefSeq lists it as uncharacterized. Lineage: Eukaryota; Metazoa; Chordata; Actinopteri; Cypriniformes; Cyprinidae. The record is from RefSeq and is a predicted model, not a curated record. The transcript is spliced from 4 exons.